AUCACAAAUGCUCAGACAGAGCAGAAGGUUCCCAACAGGCUGCGCCUGCGCUGGACCACCCCCUUUCCUCCUUCCUUCAGCUGCCCCUCUUUCUGGAUGGGUAAAAGCACUUCCAUGUUUUCAGAGGCGUGGAGGGAGCCCGAGAAGAGCAGAUGUUGACACCACCAUCACUGCCUGCAGCAGUGAGACCAGGGGCACAGUUUUUGUUGAAAGGGUCGACCAGGAAGCACUUCCUUGACUCUGUCCUAAAGCCUCUGGAGAGCCCUUAAAUUUGUGGUCCUUGAAGCUAUUGUAAAGGUAUUAUUCAGGAACAAGAUGGGCAAAACAUGAAUAGGACAAGCUUUCUGCUCUCCAGGGACUCCCUUGAAGAUGUGUCACAACCCCAAGCCAGUAUGUGUUAACCUUCAGGAUGACACCACCCUCGACACUCACUUCAUGAUGGCCUGCACAUCUGACCUUGUGCAGGAGCCUGCAGCGUGGGAUUGAGCAGCCUCCUGCUCCAGCCAGCUGACUGCCCCUCAGAGGGGACUGAGGUGACAAAACAGGAUCCCAUCAUUUGGUAAACAGGACUCAAGCAUGAAGUCUGAGGGGUGUGGGGAGGUGCAGGGUGGGUAGCAAAUGGCUGUGAAAAGCAAGAGACUUUCCACGGGCAAAGCUAAGUCUAGAUGUACCCAGAUUAGCGACUUUUCCUUAAAAGGUUUUUCCAGCCAGGAGCAAGGGACUGGGUGAAUCAUCCCUAAGACGGGUGACAGGAGGCAGGAAUAAAGCAUGAAUAAAGCAUCAGGAAGGGACUAGGAUUUAAAACUGGCCCCUCAAUGCUUCUACACUGCUGGUGAGAAUGUAAGUUAGUUCAGCCACUGUGGAAAGCUGUCUGGAGAGUUCUCAAAUAACUUAAACUAGAACUACCAUUUGACCUAGCAAUCCCAUUUACUGGGUAUAUGCCCAAAGGAAUACAAAAUAUUCUACCAUAAAGACACACACAGGCAUAUAUUCAUCACAGCACUGUUUACAAUAGCAAAGACCUAGAUGCCCAUCGAUGGUGGAUUGCAUAAAGAAAAUGUGGUGCAUAUACAACAUGGAAUACUGUGCAGCCACAGAAACGAAUGAAAUCAUGUCCAUUACAGCAACAUGGAUAGAGCUGGAGGCCAUUACCCUAAACAAAUUAACGCAGGAACAGAAAACUAAAUACUGCAUGUUCUUACUUAUAAGUGGGGGCUCAACAUUGAGUAGACAUGGACAUAAAGAUGGGAGCAGAGGACACUGGGGACUCCUGGUGGGGGAGGAUGGGAGGAGGGUGAAGACAGAAAAACUACCUAUUGGGUAUUACGCUGAUUACCUGGGUGACAAAAUUAUUUGUAUACCAAAACCCCAUGAUAUGCAAUUUACUCAUGUAACAAACCUGCACACCUACCCCUUGAACCUAAAAUAAAAGUUGGAAAUAAAAAAAAAACUGGCUCCUCUAUCUGGGCUCCUCUCCCUUCUUAAGUCCUAGGAGAGUUGGCCAACGAGGCCCUGAGUCCAGACACGCCCCACCUUGGCCCAGUGUCCACCUGCACCUGCUCACAUUCCCACGUGCCACCAUUCCUUGAUGCAGCUCACUCUCUAGACCAGUGGCUCCCAGCCACUGGGGUGCAUGAGAGUUUCCUGAGGAGCCGAGGUACAUGUGUGCUCAAGUCAGCAUCCAGACCCACUGGGUCCAGUCUCCAGGCUGGCCCAGUUUGAGAGGUGGGUUUAGAGAGUUUCUCUGCAAUAGCACUGGGAAUACCUACUGCUGAUGGAGCACCUAGAUGGAUGCUCAGACUCAGAGGUGACUCGGAGGGCUUCACAAACAUAAUCAUAAAGAUCCUUUGAACACUGAGGCUCAUGAAGGUCAAGUCACUCUCCCAAAGUCACUCAGCUGAGAAUAGCACUAGGAUGAGAACCCCUUAUUUUAUUUUAGUUUUUGAGACGGAGUCUCGUUCUGUCAUCCAGGCUGGAGUGCAGUGGCAUGAUCGGCUCACUGCAACCUCCACCUCCCGAGUUCAAGCAAUUCUCCUGCCUCAGCCUCCCGAGUAGCUGGGAUUACAGGCACGUGCCACCAUGCCUGGCUACUUUUUUGUAUUUUUAGUAGAGACGGGGUUUCACUAUGUUGGCCAGGCUGGUCUCGAACUCCUGACCUCGUGAUCCACCCGCCUUGGCCUCCCAAAGUGCUGGGAUUACAGGUGCAUGCCACCAUGCCCGGCUACUUUUUUGUAUUUUUAGUAGAGAUGGGGUUUCACCAUGCUGGCCAGGUUGGUCUCGAACUCCUGACCUCGUGAUCGGCCCACCUCAGCCUCCCAAAGUGCUAGGAUUACAGGCAUGAGCCACCGUGCCAGGCAAGAACCCCUUACUGACCCCUUAGACCUUCUCUCAACCAUCACACCAGCUUGCCAUGGAGCCCAGGCUUAAUUUACCUUGGUAUCCCAGCACCCCCAAGCCCAGAGAAGCACGGGGCUUGGUAUAUGGUGGGUGUUUGCUAUAGACCAAAUGUUUGUCUUCAAGUUCAUGUGUUGAAGCCUGAUCCCCAGUGGGAUGAUACCUGGAGGUGGGACCUUUGGGAGGUGCUCGGGUCAUGACAGUGGAGCCCUCACAAAUAAGAUUAGUACUAUCAUAAAAGAGACACUAAAGAGCUGCCUUGCCCCUUCCUUCAGGUGAGGACACAGCGAGGAGUAGGCUGUCUAUGAACCAGGAAGUGGGCCCUCACCAGACACAGAAUCUGCCAGCACCUCAAUUUGGACUUCCCAGACUCCAGAACUGCAAGAAAUUAAUUUCUAUUGCUCACAAGCCACCCAGUCUAUGGUAUUCUGUUACAGCAGCUGGAGCAAACUGAGACAGUACUUGACAGUGAUUUUCAUGAAGGUUCUCCCUUGCUCAUUUUUAAGCCCACUGGUUCAGACAGAAGCCUCUGGGAGAGCCCUCCAGAGUCCACCUUGAAGGCUUCAUUCCUUCUACCCAGAGCAUCUCCGUGGAGAGGAAGAAAAAGCAUCAACGAAAUGAGGUGCCCCAGCGGUUCUGGGGAGCAAUUCCUCUCUUCAUAUGACCAUUUGGGAAACCCCCAGUGAGAUGGAGUGUGCUUUUAAGCCAUGAAAACCAUGCACAUCAGCCCCACCACAGAGGUGAGCAGAAAUGUAGAAUAUGGUGUCUCUUUCUCCUCCUUUUAUUUUCAGAGAAAUAAUUAGGGAUUCUGUGGUAGGCAGCCUCUAAGAUGGGCCCCAGUGACCCCCACUCUCCCUGUAUCCUCACCCUCAUGUCAUCCUUUCCCUGUCGGUGUGGAUCAUUCUAAGUAACUUGCUUCUAUGACUAGAAUAGGGCAGAAGUAAUGAGAUGUCACAUCUUCAUAGGUUAUAAAAAGCACUGUGGCUUCCAUUUUGGGUCCUCUGUCCUACUCUCUCUAGAGUCACACGACCCCAGGGUAACCAGCCACAUGUCACAAGGCAGCCUGUGGAGAUGCCUAGGUGGGGAGGGACAGAACCACAUGAGUGAGCUUGGAAACAGAUGCCCCCAUGCCAGUCAACCUUCAGAUAAGACCAAAGCCUCAGGUGACAGCUUGACUGCAGCCUCAUGAGCAGCCUUGAGUUACAAGCAUUCAGCUAAGCCGUGUCCAUAUUCCUGACUCACAGAAAGUGUGAGAUAACACACAUUUGUUUUAAGCUGCCACGUUUUAGGGUGACAUGUUACACAGCAAUAGAUAACUAAUACAGCUUCUUAGCCUGGCAAGAAGCAGGAAGAGUUAAGGAAUUAAGACAGGGUGAUUCUGGUGAAGAUGAGAAAGAUGCAGAUGUCAUGGGUGAAUGUCUAAUACCUGAGAAAUUCAGAAAAGGAUUUCUAGGGCAACGCAGAGUUAGAGCAGAGAAACUGAAGGCCAGGCCAGGCAUGGUGUCUCAUGCCUGUAUUCCCAGUGCUUUGGGAGGCUGAGGCAGGAGGAUCAUUUUAGGCCAGGAGUUCGAGGUUACAGUGAGCUAUGAUCACAGCACUGUACUUCAGCCUGGAAACAAAGAAGGCCACUUCUUUGUUUCCAGACUCAAAGCAAUUUAUUAAUACCAACUGCUUUGUCCUCUGACAUUCCUGUGAUUCCCGCUGAGUCACACCUCUGUAUUCACGGUGUUUCAGAAAUUCCCCAGAAUUUACACUGGCAGAGGUGAGGGCAGAGUGAGGGCCUCAUUGCUCUGGACGUUGGCGGGGCUGUCCCUCUUGGGUUUAUCUGAUGUCCACCUUUUAAUCAAUAAUGACUAGCCUAUGACAGGGACAAGGCUCAGGUCUAAUGUCUGGGCUUAUUGGAAGGCUCCUGUUCCUUUUGUUGUCUCUUCCUUCCUCAUUCCCAGAGCUGCUCUGAAUGCAGUGGGGCACCCGCCUUAUCCAGAUGUGCUGCUCACAAAAUGGACAGAAUUCACUGCUCUCUCUGUGCUUUACAACAAAAAAUGUUGAUAAGUUGCUGUUGGGACCCCUUAAAUACACUUCGGGUGAGCAGCGGUUUCCCCUGCCCAUCCCAGGCUGGAUGGAAGUCAUCCCUGCAGAGGGUAAAGCUCAGCCUCAGGGGUCAAUCUGGAUUUCUGUGGGGGCAUCUGAGGAGGCUAUCAGGUUCCCCAAAUGUGAAUUGAGUCCUGGUUCACAUCUUGGGUGCUUCACGUCGUCCCCUUCUCACCGAAGGGGAGAGACAGCUGGCUGUGGCUGGCUUCAUGUCCUAAUUCAACAAAAACAACGCACCUAAGAAAAUGCAUCUAAAUACUUCACAACAUUUCCUCCUCUAUCUGCAGAGGUUGGAGAUGAGCAUAGACAUUACUGAUUUUUGACCCUAUCAAGUGACGCCUGCUUGAGGCACCCUGCAGUACCUGCCAGUGCCUUCAGACCUGGAGCCCCCAUGGAAAAUUUCUGUCUUAUUUCCUGCUACCACCACGAUCCUUUUCUUACUUCUCAAACCCAUCUAAGCCAUAUUGAUAAUAUUUUGUACCAUCAAAUACUUUUUGUAGAAAAGCACUUUUUAUAAACAAAGCACAACUAAACUCAGGGCAAGAGAUGGCUGAACUCAUCACCUGAUAACCCUUCUUUUCCACCUCCUGCCUCCUCCUGCCUCUACCAUGUUGCCUUUUCCACCUCUGUGGCUCAUGACCACACAGGAUGCCAGGCGAGGUCAAAUACAAGGUUGCUAGGAAAAAUCAGACAAGAAAAUUAAGCAAUGGCCAAUUCUUGCCAGAAAACACUGUGAUACCCCUUUGGGUUUUCAUUGCAGGGGUCUUGAGGGCCACCCACACAGGUGACUUAAAUCUUUCACUCUCUUAUCAGUCUCUUGGGAGAGAAUGUGGAUCCACUGGAGUGGAUGUAGGCCAACCCUCUUCUAGAGAAAAGUACAGCCACACUGGAUGGUCAUUAUCAUGGUCCCCAAAGCCUCCAUAGCUGGUCUCCCUGCACCGAUCGUGUGUUUUACACCCGGUCUCCACCACUCAAUGUACCACAUAGGGGUUCAUUGCAUCUGUCACCCCCUGUGUUUUGUCCUUCCUUGUCAUCCUGGGGCUCCUGUGGUGCUGGUUGGUGUAGAUUGUCACUAGCAAGCAAGAAGGCCCCCCCACCCUACUUCUGUCCUGGGGUCACAGCCUGGCUGGCAUUUAGGGCACUUAACUCUUCCAAUGAAUCAUAUUCUCCACUCCUGCACAUAACUUCCUAGCAUGUCUCAGGAGACAUGCUGAACUCUCAGUAAACUGCUUUCGGAGAAUUAUUUAAACACAUGAAUAAGGAUAGAGAGAAAUAUAACAAAUGUCAUACGCCCACAUGGCUUUAUCAGAUCUUAAUAUUUUGCCAUAUUUGUUUCAAGCCUUUAGAAAAAAACACAUAAAACAUUACAGACACAGAUGAAGGCCUCCUUGAUCUCAUUCCCUUUCCCUACUCCUCAGAGAUGCCACAACCUUAAAUUUACUGUGUAUUAAUCUCAAGCCUGUUUUUUAGAUUUUCCUACAGUAUUCAUUCCUAAGUAAUAUAAAGUAUUGGUUUGUAAGUUUUCCAUUUUAUGGAAAUCUGUCCUGUUGUAUCUAUCUUCCUGAAACUCAUGAUUGUUUUUAGAUUUAUCCAUGCAGAUACCUGUUGCUCUAACUCCUUUAACUGCUGUAUAAUACUCAGUCAUAUGAACCUUAUCAGAAUUAAUUUGUCUAUUUUCUGCUGAUUGUUUUUCAGUUCCUUUUCAAUUUUUCACUACAGAUAAUGAUGCAGUGAAUAUUUGUGCACAUGUGUGAGAGGUUCUCCAGUCUGGAUCCAUGCUCUACAUCCUCACCAGCCCAGUAUGAGUUUCUUAUGUUUGCCUUUUGUGUCAACACUUGGUAGUGGCAGACAAAUGUUUUGGCCAGUCUGAUGUGUUGGAGGUUCUGUAGUUGAUUUUGAGUGUCAACUUGGCCGGAAUGUUUCUGUGAGGGUGUUUCUGAUGGGGAUUUACAUUGAAAUUGGUGGGCUUUCAGUAAAGCAGAUUGCCUUCCAGAGCCUGGGCAGGCUUCGUCCAGUCAGUUGAAGGCCUGAAUAGAGUAAAAGGCUGAGCUCCCUGAACAAGAGGAAAUUCUCCAGCAAACUGUUCUUGGGACUUCACCUGCAACAUCAGCUCUUCCUGGGGUCUUCAGCCUGAUGGCCUUUUGACUUGAGCUGUAGCAUUGUCUUCUCUCCGGGUCUCCAGCCUGCCAGCCCAGCAUGCAGAUUUUGGACUUACCAGCUUCCAUAAUCAUGGAAGAGAUAUUAACUUUCAUAAUCAUGGAAGUUAAUUUCUUAAAACAAAUCUCUUUCUAUAUACAUGUAAAUCCUAUUUGUUUUAUUUCACUGGAGAACCCUAAUACACAGGUGGCAUACUUUUUUGUUUGCUUAUUUCUCUGAUUACUAAGAGGUAAUCAUCUAGUCAAAUGCUCAUUUGCCCUUUGAGCUGCCUUCAUCCAUAACUUGUUCAUGUCUUUUGGUCAUUUUUUCCAUUGACUUGCCAGUGUUCAUGUAUUCUGGAUUCUGGCCUUUGUCAAUUAUAUGACUGCAUUGCAAAUACUGGUUUCUGGCUUGACAUUUAACAUUUUUUAUGAAUAAUUUAAAAAUUUUAAAAUACAAUCCUGCUUACUAAACCAAAUAGUCUGUUAAUUUUUGCAUUAAGGGUCUUUUUGUAUAUAGUUUAAGAAAAUAAUUUCUUACUCUGAGUUCAUAAAGAUAGUCUUCUACAUCUUCUUCUAAAUUAUUUGAAGUUGUUGCUUUUUACACUUAGGUAUGUAAUCAACCAAGGAUUUGUUUUUACAUGUGCGUUGAUAUAAGGAUCUAAUUUUAUUAUUCUUGUAUGGAUAACCUAUUUUUCCUAAGUUAUUUCUUGAACGAGCCCACCCCUUCUUUUUACUAAUCUGUAAUGACUCUUCCGUUAUAUAUGAAAUUUCCACAGAUGCAUAGGUCAGUUUCUGAGUUCUCUAAUUUUCUAUUGAUCUAUUCACUAUCUAUAUAUCGAUAUUGUACUAUGUUAAGUAUUAUAAAUGUAUAAUUAGUCUUGAUGAUUAUCAGCUUGUCAAAUUUCACACACAAAAAAAUCCCCUUCAAGAUUUUGGAUAGAAUUGUAGUGAAUUUAAAGAAUAAUUAGGAGAUGAUAUUGACAUCUUUCCU
This is a long non-coding RNA of Homo sapiens (human), 7614 nucleotides long. RefSeq lists it as uncharacterized. The transcript has 3 exons. The record is from RefSeq and is a predicted model, not a curated record. NCBI's taxonomy places the organism in Eukaryota, Metazoa, Chordata, Mammalia, Primates, Hominidae.